UAUAUACUCCCUCCGACUAAAAAUACUUGUCGCAUAAAUGGAUAAAAAUGGACGCAUUUAAAACUAAAAUACGACUAGAUGCAUUUAUUCCUCCGACAAGUAUUUCCGGACGAAGGGAGUACUUG
Triticum aestivum (bread wheat) is the source of this 125-nucleotide non-coding RNA. The record is from Rfam. Lineage: Eukaryota; Viridiplantae; Streptophyta; Magnoliopsida; Poales; Poaceae.